Centruroides sculpturatus (bark scorpion) is the source of this 607-nucleotide long non-coding RNA. RefSeq lists it as uncharacterized. The record is from RefSeq and is a predicted model, not a curated record. Lineage: Eukaryota; Metazoa; Arthropoda; Arachnida; Scorpiones; Buthidae. The transcript has 2 exons.
AUUUCAUAUUUAAAAUUUAAAAUAUGAAAUUUAUUCUUAAAAUUAUUCUUUAGAUUAGUUCUUUGAAAUUAGAUACACAUAUCAUAUUUCUAAGUUAAUGUUAAAUGAUCUGUCAGGUUGGUUGAUUUAGCCUUAAUGUAGCUCAAUCAGAUAAUCUAGCAGAUUGUUUGGCAUUAAUUAAAAUCAGGCUAUUGAAUUUGUUUUAUAUUUACAGUAUAUAUUUUCAUGUAUUUGCCAAUUUUAAAUGUUAUAUAAAGAAAAACAGCUCAUUUAAAUUUUGAUAAAAUGUCAAGUUUGGCCAUUGAAAAUUUGGAAAGAUUGAUUUAUAUUUCUUCUUAUUAUUUUAUUAAUAUACCCUUUUAAAUAUUUCAUUAAUUUAAUCAAUUAUUCAUAGAAUACUUACAUUAAUUUAGGCUGAAACAGCUGCAAAUCGUAUCUGUAAAGUACUUAAAGUUAACCAGGAGAAUGAACGAUUGAUGGAAGAAUAUGAACGCUUAGCCAGUGAUUUAUUGGAAUGGAUUCGUCGUACAACACCUUGGCUCGAAAAUCGCACAACAGAUAACACAUUAGCUGGUGUUCAUAAAAAACUGGAUGAAUUCAGAAAUUA